RNAcentral lists this ribosomal RNA (586 nucleotides) under uncultured bacterium. RNAcentral's name for it is "bacterial SSU rRNA". It matches the Rfam family "Bacterial small subunit ribosomal RNA", at positions 375 to 951 of the family's 1533-position model. The record is from RNAcentral.
GUAGGGAACCUGACGUGCGACGCCGCGUGGGGGAUGAAGGCCCUUGGGUUGUAAACCCCUUUUGUUCGGGAAGAAGUGCGAUCAGGUGAACAAUCUGGUCGUUUGACGGUACCGGACGAAUAAGCUCCGGCUAACUCCGUGCCAGCAGCCGCGGUAAUACGGGGGGAGCAAGCGUUGUUCGGAAUCACUGGGCGUAAAGGGCGUGUAGGCGGUCAGGUAAGUAAGACGUGAAAUGCCUCGGCUCACCCGAGGAGCGGCGUCUUAUACUGCUUGGCUUGAGUAUGGGAGAGGUUGUGGGAAUUCCUGGUGUAGCGGUGAAAUGCGUAGAUAUCAGGAGGAACACCGGUGGCGAAGGCGCACAACUGGCCCAAUACUGACGCUGAUGCGCGAAAGCUAGGGGAGCAAACGGGAUUAGAUACCCCGGUAGUCCUAGCCGUAAACGGUGAUCACUAGGUGUUGGAGGCAUUGACCCCUCCAGUGCCGCAGCUAACGCAUUAAGUGAUCCGCCUGGGGAGUACGGCCGCAAGGUUGAAACUCAAAGGAAUUGACGGGGGCCCGCACAAGCGGUGGAGCAUGUGGUUUAUUC